UCUUCAGUAUCAAUGAGACUGUGGUAGUGACGACACCUCUGUUGAUAAAGCUAAACGCUUCCGAUUUACACCUCCGCGAGUGUUAUUAACCCGUAGACCCUUUGCGGUUUAUUGAUCAUCCCGUAAGGUAUGCACCGCCAGACCCGUCACACAUCUAGAAGUUUCUGUUGUGAGUGAGUUGGUGAGUGAGUAUGAGUGCAUGCAGAUUAGUGUGUCGGUAAUUAGUCAUAAUGAGUCCUAAUUAUUCAGUGUGAUUCUUACCUGGUCCAGUGUGAGUCGAAAGUGAUCAGUAUGAUUCUAAGGUAGUGUUGAAUAUAAUGGGUUCGUACAUAUCGAUGGCAAUAAACGUUUCCUGCUGCCUUUUAACGUUUGGCACGAGUUCGAACAUCGUGUGAAUACAUUUAGAACAACAAACGUUUCUAAAGUUCGAACACCGCGUGAAUAUAUCAAUAAUAGCAAAUAUUUAACAGAAGUUUGAACAACGGGGAAAUAUAUCGAUGACAAUAAACAAGAAAGUUCGAACACUGAGUAAGUUCGAAAGCCGUUUGAAUACGUUUUCAUAAUAAACGAUUCAAGGGUUCGAACACUCCUGCGAAUAUAUAGAGGCAAUAAACGUUUCAAGAGUUCGAACACUAUGUGAGUAUAUGGAAAGAAAAAAAAAACGUUUCAAACGUUUCCACCUGCCUUAAAACAUUUGACACGAAUUCGAACACGGUAUAAAUACACCAACAAUAAUAAACGUUCAGGAAUUCGAACGCUUAUAUUCCAGGGACGAAAGCACUGAAUAUUUCAUACAUUUUCCGUGCCUGUGAGUCGCAGCUAUUUCACGCUCGCAAAAUGGCUUCUCUACAUCCUGCAAUCUCUGCAAGGUUUGUCAGAGGGUUUUUGCAAGUCAGCAACUGCAAAUGCGAAAAAAGCGAUUGAAUCAUAUAUAAUAGAAUUUGUGAAACGGAAGAAAGAGAUCAAGAAGAAGAACAUGAAGAAGAAGAAGAAGAAGAAGAAGAAGAAGAGGAAGAAGAAGAAGGAGAAUUGUGAUUAUGGAAUCCACGAAAUCCGCCGGAAUCCAAGACAAAGAACAUUAGAAUAAGAAUUUUAUUUUUAUUAUUCUAACUGUGAACAUCGGGAUGUCGGAAAGGAGAUGAAAAGAAUGAAGAAAGGAG
This is a long non-coding RNA of Penaeus monodon (black tiger shrimp), 1160 nucleotides long. RefSeq lists it as uncharacterized. The record is from RefSeq and is a predicted model, not a curated record. The transcript has 2 exons. Lineage: Eukaryota; Metazoa; Arthropoda; Malacostraca; Decapoda; Penaeidae.